RNAcentral lists this ribosomal RNA (486 nucleotides) under uncultured bacterium. RNAcentral describes it as "bacterial SSU rRNA". It matches the Rfam family "Bacterial small subunit ribosomal RNA", at positions 29 to 509 of the family's 1533-position model. The record is from RNAcentral.
AUUGAACGCUGGCGGAAUGCUUUACACAUGCAAGUCGAACGGCAGCACGGGGGCAACCCUGGUGGCGAGUGGCGAACGGGUGAGUAAUGCAUCGGAACGUACCCAAUCGUGGGGGAUAACUGGCCGAAAGGUCAGCUAAUACCGCAUACGUCCUGAGGGAGAAAGCAGGGGAUCGCAAGACCUUGCGCGAUUGGAGCGGCCGAUGUCUGAUUAGCUAGUUGGUGGGGUAAGAGCCUACCAAGGCGACGAUCAGUAGCUGGUCUGAGAGGAUGAUCAGCCACACUGGGGCUGAGACACGGCCCAGACUCCUACGGGAGGCAGCAGUGGGGAAUUUUGGACAAUGGGCGCAAGCCUGAUCCAGCCAUUCCGCGUGAGUGAAGAAGGCCUCGGUUGUAAAGCUCUUCGGUCAGGAAAGAAACGGUACUGUGCUAAUACCACGGGCUAAUGACGGUACCUGCAGAAGAAGACACCGGCUAACUACGUGCC